ACGGAGGAUGCAAGUGUUAUCCGGAAUCACUGGGCGUAAAGCGUCUGUAGGUGGCUCGACAAGUCAACUGUUAAAUCUUGAAGCUCAACUUCAAAAUCGCAGUCGAAACUAUCGGACUAGAGUAUAGUAGAGGUAAAGGGAAUUUCCAGUGGAGCGGUGAAAUGCGUAGAGAUUGGAAAGAACACCGAUGGCGAAGGCACUUUACUGGGCUAUUACUGACACUCAGAGACGAAAGCUAGGGUAGCAAAUGGGAUUAGAUACCCCAGUAGUCCUAGCCGUAAACAAUGGAUACUAGGUGUUGAACAGAUCGACCUGUGCAGUACCAAAGCUAACGCGUUAAGUAUCCCGCCUGGGAAGUAUGCACGCAAGUGUG
RNAcentral lists this ribosomal RNA (373 nucleotides) under uncultured bacterium. Its description in RNAcentral is "bacterial SSU rRNA". It matches the Rfam family "Bacterial small subunit ribosomal RNA", at positions 525 to 896 of the family's 1533-position model. The record is from RNAcentral.